RNAcentral lists this long non-coding RNA (435 nucleotides) under Oryza sativa tropical japonica subgroup. Its description in RNAcentral is "lncRNA OsKeNa_04g0001090". Lineage: Eukaryota; Viridiplantae; Streptophyta; Magnoliopsida; Poales; Poaceae. The record is from RNAcentral.
AUGACAAAGGAAGAAGUGGAGAGACUUCCAUUCAGUGUUGAGAUUGAGGGGUGCUUUUCUUUGGAGGAUCAUGAGAGAGUGGAGGAAUCCAAUAAGGAUGUUGAGCUGAUAGAGGAGAGGGGGGACAACAACUCUAAAGAGGCCAGCAAUAAAGAGUUGUUUGUGGUAGAAGAGUGUGAUGUAGGUGAAUAUCAUGUGUAUAUGAUAAUUAGAACCAAAAAAGAUGGCAAAUGUUGGAUGGUGAUCAAUGUAUAUGGCCCUGUGCAAUAUGAGAGGAAGGAGGAUUUUCUAAGAGAGCUCCAUUUAAGAGUUAUAAGCAGUAAUGUACCAGCAAUGGUAGGGGGUGAUUUUACUAUGGUUAGAUUUGAGUGGGAGAAAGAUGGUGGAAUUUUUCACAGAAGAUGGGCUGAAGCCUUUAAUUUGUUCAUAGCUGAC